UUCUUUAAAAUUAAAGGAUUUGGCGGUAUUUUAGUCUGUUCAGAGGAACCUGUUUUUUAAUUGAUAGUCCACGAUGAGCUUUACUUUUGUUUUUAAUUUGUAUAUCGUCGUUUAUAAAAAUUUUAUUAAAUAAUUUUUUCAGAUCAAGGUGUAGUUUAUAUAAAAGUUAAAAUGGGUUACAUUGAAAAUUUUAAUUAAAUUGGAUUUGAUAGUAAGCUCUAAAAUAUGCACAUAUCGCCCGUCGCUUUCACUUUAAGGUGAAAUAAGUCGUAACAAAGUAGGCUUAUUGGAAAAUGAGCCUGGAAUGCAAAUUAGAGCUUGUUAAGCAUUUUAUUUACAUUAAAAAGUUAAUUGUGAAAUUCAAUUUAAUUUGAUCUGAUUUUAUUAUUAAUUUUAUUGUUUUUGUUUCUUUAUCUGAAAAAUAUUAUUUUUUAUUUUAUGUUUGAAAAAAUGUAAUUAUAGUUUAUUGUACUGUGAAGGAUUUAAUUUAUGUUUUGAACAGAAGAUUUUAUUUAUUGUACCUUGUGUAUCAGGGUUUAUUAAUUUAUUUUUCCCGAUUUAAAAAGAGCUAUUUUUACUGUAGAAUAAGUAUUUUGAAUAUUUUCAUAGAAAUGAAACGUUAUUCGUUUUUUAAUAUAUCUGGUUUUUCAAGAAAUAAAUUUAAUUUAUUUGAAUAAUAGCAUUAUUUAGGGAUAAGCUUGUUUACAAAUUAUUAUAAGUUUUUAAUUUUAGAUUUUAUAUAGGAUUAGAAUUUUCCAUUAUUUUAAGUAUGUUAUAUUUUAUGUCUUUAAUUUUUUAUUGAAAAUUGUUUUAUAAUUUUGUAUUUUUUGUUAAUAUGAUGGAAUUAGUAAGGUAAAGUAAAGGAACUCGGCAAAUUAAUUUUCACCUGUUUAUUAAAAACAUGGCCUUUUGUCAAUGAAUUAAGGUUUGGCCUGCCCAAUGAUUAAAUGGCCGCAGUAUUUUGACUGUGCAAAGGUAGCAUAAUCAUUAGUUUCUUAAUUAGAAGCUGGAAUGAAUGGUUUGAUGAAAAAUUAACUGUCUCUAGAAUUUUAUUUUUAAGUUAGAAAGCUUAAAUUUUAUAUAAAGACGAGAAGACCCUAUAGAGUUUUUUUGUUGGGGUGAUAAAUAAAUUUGAUUAACUUUAUUUUUUUUUGAUUUUUUGAUCCCGGAUUAAAAGAUUAAAUUACCUUAGGGAUAACAGCGUAAUUUUUUCUGAAAGUUCUUAUUG
Molecule: ribosomal RNA, 1228 nt
Filed under: Nocar sp. NLG-2012
Lineage: Eukaryota; Metazoa; Arthropoda; Insecta; Coleoptera; Tenebrionidae
Description: partial 16S ribosomal RNA
Source: RNAcentral